UCACCGAACGGUCGGCAGGCGAUCCGCGUCGGUCGCGCUGGGUGGUAUGGUUCCCCAGAGGCCGGUUCUUGUGCUGCCUACCCCUUCAGGGGAAGAGUCCCAAACUGGAUGUAAGCCUCCAUCGGGCCCCCUCCAAAGGGCGCGGGAGGACAACGGAGCACCCCCCGCGUUCCACCGAGCCUCCUCGGUCGCGUGGCCCGCGGGGACGUGCGAUGCUCUAGGACCCAGCGAACGCCGUGGGCGAGGACUCCCGUCCCGGUCCCAAGUGAAGCAACGGUAUAACGCGGACGGCCGCUCCCGCCCCCCGACCGCCCCGGCGGCGCGGGGGCGAAGGCGCGGCGUCGCUGAGGAAUGCUACCU
Molecule: unclassified non-coding RNA, 360 nt
Filed under: Acacia anaticeps
Lineage: Eukaryota; Viridiplantae; Streptophyta; Magnoliopsida; Fabales; Fabaceae
Description: partial external transcribed spacer
Source: RNAcentral